RNAcentral lists this ribosomal RNA (253 nucleotides) under uncultured bacterium. RNAcentral's name for it is "partial 16S ribosomal RNA". It matches the Rfam family "Bacterial small subunit ribosomal RNA", at positions 524 to 776 of the family's 1533-position model. The record is from RNAcentral.
UACGGAGGAGGCAAGCGUUAUCCGGAAGUAUUGGGCGUAAAGCGUCCGUAGGUGGCCAUGCAAGUCUGCUGUCAAAGCAUGGAGCUUAACUCCAUAGAGGCAGUGGAAACUGAAUAGCUAGAGUUCGGUAGGGGUAGCGGGAAUUCCCAGUGUAGCGGUGAAAUGCGUAGAGAUUGGGAAGAACAUCGGUGGCGAAAGCGCGCUACUGGGCCGAAACUGACAAUGAGGGACGAAAGAUAGGGGAGCGAAAGGG